CCCUUAGAUGUCCUGGGCCGCACGCGCGUUACACUGAUGCAUUCAACGAGCUUAUAACCUUGGCCGAGAGGCCUGGGCAAUCUUGUUAACGUGCAUCGUGAUAGGGAUAGAUUAUUGAAAUUAUUAAUCUUGAACGAGGAAUUCCUAGUAAACGCAGAUCAUCAAUCUGCAUUGAUUACGUCCCUGCCCUUUGUACACACCGCCCGUCGCACCUACCGAUUGGAUGGUCCGGUGAAGCCUCGGGAUUGUGGUUCUUGCCGCUUUAUUGUGGCGUGACCGCGAGAAGUUGUCUAAACCUUAUCAUCUAGAGGAAGGUGAAGUCGUAACA
Molecule: ribosomal RNA, 328 nt
Filed under: uncultured eukaryote
Lineage: Eukaryota
Description: partial 18S ribosomal RNA
Rfam family: Eukaryotic small subunit ribosomal RNA
Source: RNAcentral